This 457-nucleotide long non-coding RNA is filed under the name Felis catus (domestic cat). RNAcentral's name for it is "lncRNA (ENSFCAG00000043606.2)". Lineage: Eukaryota; Metazoa; Chordata; Mammalia; Carnivora; Felidae. The record is from RNAcentral.
AUGGCCAAGCAACCUGCUAGCAUGUGCAUAUCAUUUAGUCACAGGUUCCCUUGGAGGAAAAAACUUAAAAUGAUUGGUCACCAGAAGUAUGCUGACCCACACCUCUGCAGUUUCUCAAGACAGCAGUCAUUCCUCACUUGUUCUCAACUGGAGAACUUAAGAUACUCCCUCUUAAGAAACUGAAUAAAAAUGAAAAUACACUGGCAAGAGCUGAACCAAUAUUUUAAAAUACAACGAAGGGAUUCCUGGGUGACUCAGUUGGUUGUGUCUGAUUCUUGAUUUCAGAACAAGUAAGUGAUGAUCUCAGGGUUAUGAGAUCCCAUAACCAUAUAUUGAGCCCCACAUCGGGCUCCACACCUAGUGUUAAGAUUUUCUCUCUCCCUCUGCCACUCUCCACUGCUUAUGCUCUAUCUCUCUAAAAUUGAAAAAAUAAAUAAACAUCAUGAAGAAAAAUACA